UUGUUUUUUUAAAAAAAAAAAAUCUAUUGGGCAAGAUAAAAUGAAAGUAAAUGGAAAGUGGGGAGAGGUGGUGCACCUUCCGUUGAUAAAGUGAAGGGACAAAUGAAUGUAACUUUAUUUUGAGGAGAGUUCCCUCGCUUCCUUUUAACCAAUUACUUUUGCUUUCGUCAUUAUUAUAUGAUAUGCCUUCUGUCUUCCACCACCGUUAACCUCUCACAACCUCUUGUUCCUUACUAAAUAACAACCAACUUCUCCCAGAAUUCUUCACUGAACUACUCCAUGGCGAACAAACCAUGUACCCAUGUGCGCGAGAGAGAGAGGGGUCUGCAAGCCUCUGCCAGAUCCAGAGUACGAGCUUUUCUGUCUGAGUAACAAUAGCAAGAAUAAGUCCCACGUCCAAUUUAAACACAUUACCAUCACUGCUGAUCUUGGCACUGGAAGAUUCAUGCUGACCUGGCAAAUUCUGACCCAAAAUCGAAAACAGUGCUCUUGACUGCUGUUUUAUUGUUGCUUCAUAUUGCUUAUGGGAUCUAUCUCCGAAGUUGAUCUUUUCUGCAGCGUCAGGGAUAUGGGCUCUCCUACAAUGAAAUAGAAAUGGAAUGAUAUUUAUCAAUGUUCUUUAUAGAAUGUUCAUUUCACUUAUUUGAAACCAAUAAGUGUAAUGCACACCUCAUCUUCUUAGUAGGUGCUGCAGCCUCUGAUGUUGACUCUCUGUUAUCACCCUGUUGGAAAAUAGUCCUUUUGUUAUUUGAA
This is a long non-coding RNA of Prosopis cineraria, 753 nucleotides long. RefSeq lists it as uncharacterized. The transcript is spliced from 2 exons. Lineage: Eukaryota; Viridiplantae; Streptophyta; Magnoliopsida; Fabales; Fabaceae. The record is from RefSeq and is a predicted model, not a curated record.